Molecule: ribosomal RNA, 254 nt
Filed under: uncultured bacterium
Lineage: Bacteria
Description: partial 16S ribosomal RNA
Rfam family: Bacterial small subunit ribosomal RNA
Source: RNAcentral
UACGGGGGGAGCAAGCGUUGUUCGGAUUUACUGGGCGUAAAGGGCGCGUAGGCGGUCAGCCCCAGUCAGUUGUGAAAUCUCCGGGCUUAACUCGGAAAGGUCAACUGAUACUGUGCGACUAGAGUGCAGAAGGGGCAACUGGAAUUCUCGGUGUAGCGGUGAAAUGCGUAGAUAUCGAGAGGAACACCUGCGGCGAAGGCGGGUUGCUGGGCUGACACUGACGCUGAUGCGCGAAAGCCAGGGGAGCGAACGGG